Molecule: ribosomal RNA, 694 nt
Filed under: Actinomycetales bacterium GP-7
Lineage: Bacteria; Bacillati; Actinomycetota; Actinomycetes; Actinomycetales
Description: bacterial SSU rRNA
Rfam family: Bacterial small subunit ribosomal RNA
Source: RNAcentral
GGCGGCGUGCUUAACACAUGCAAGUCGAACGGAAAGGCCCAGCUUGCUGGGUACUCGAGUGGCGAACGGGUGAGUAACACGUGGGUGAUCUGCCCUGCACUCUGGGAUAAGCCUGGGAAACUGGGUCUAAUACCGGAUAUGACCAACUGUCGCAUGGUGGUUGGUGGAAAGCUUUUGCGGUGUGGGAUGGCCCGCGGCCUAUCAGCUUGUUGGUGGGGUAAUGGCCUACCAAGGCGACGACGGGUAGCCGACCUGAGAGGGUGAUCGGCCACACUGGGACUGAGACACGGCCCAGACUCUACGGGAGGCAGCAGUGGGGAAUAUUGCACAAUGGGCGCAAGCCUGAUGCAGCGACGCCGCGUGAGGGAUGACGGCUUCGGGUUGUAAACCUCUUUCACCAGGGACGAAGCGUGAGUGACGGUACCUGGAGAAGAAGCACCGGCCAACUACGUGCCAGCAGCCGCGGUAAUACGUAGGGUGCGAGCGUUGUCCGGAAUUACUGGGCGUAAAGAGCUCGUAGGCGGUUUGUCGCGUCGUCUGUGAAAUUCUGCAACUCAAUUGUAGGCGUGCAGGCGAUACGGGCAGACUUGAGUACUACAGGGGAGACUGGAAUUCUCUGGUGUAGCGGUGAAAUGCGCAGAUAUCAGGAGGAACACCGGUGGCGAAGGCGGUCUCUGGGUAGUACUGACGCUGA